RNAcentral lists this long non-coding RNA (1848 nucleotides) under Medicago truncatula (barrel medic). Its description in RNAcentral is "long non-coding RNA (MTRU_LNC002495)". The record is from RNAcentral. Lineage: Eukaryota; Viridiplantae; Streptophyta; Magnoliopsida; Fabales; Fabaceae.
UUUCAAAUAUAUGUGGCCAUGAUCAAACUUCUAAUGACGUGCUUUGAAUCGGAGUCGUGGUUUGUAAUUUUGAUCUUUAGUAGCACACAUAAACAUAUAAAAUAAAUUACAAUGUAAAACAAUUUCAAGCAGUGCCCACAACAUGCUUUAGAAUUAGAUCCAAUUACACGUGCAUAAACAAUAGUAAAUCACACAAACAUUCCAUGAGAAAUUACAUCAGCUCAUGUGGCAUAAUGUCUAAUGUUACAAAAGCAGCCAUCCAAGAGUACAGGAUGCAGUAUCAUCAAGAAAAUGGUAAAGGAGAAUAUUCCAUAAACUCGUUCUUCUUGUUUAUGUCAUCUUAACCUUGUUCGCUAUAUCACGGGGGGAGUGAAAGCAAAGACUCUGUAUACAUAGCCACCCGGGAUGUGCAAUUCUCUUUAUAGUAGGAGGUAUACUCUAGAAACUGUCCUUUUUCAUCGUACUUCACCAAUCCAACUUCACCAUCAGUUGCAAUAAUAUCACCACUUUUUGUACGGCAUAUUGGAGAGAAGCAAUGGGUGGGAAUGACAUCAGUAGAAAAAACAAAAGUCUUAGUCCAUGACGAAUGCACUUUAUACUCUUUCAUCACCCAUAUUUCAACUAUAUCAUCCUGCUUAGUCCAUACACUGAGAAACUCACCAAUACCCACAAAUCACAAUCUGUAGGUUAAUGUUCAAAAUCACCUGGCAAACCUCUCCAAAAAAGAUCAUCUGGCAGAGACAUAUCUACAAGGUUUCUUUCCGUUAAAUCAAAGGCAACAAUAACAUUCAUCGAUAAAUCAAGAUGAAAAGCCAACCAGUGAAUAGCCCUGUUAAGGAGCGAUCCAAUCAUGGAAUAAUCAGAGAAGUUCAUAUAAGGGAUGUGAGUACCCUCAAUUUCUUUCCAUAUAUUAUCUCUCAACGAGAAAAACUCCAAAUGUGAUGAAAAAUUAUGGAAGUCUGUGUCAAAUGACAAUACAACCACCAAAUAAUCAUCUGUUGAUGGGUCAUACCCAAAACCAUAUAGAUAUAUGAAAUGGUGGACACGUGUGAAUAUGAACUAUAAGGAGACAAAGGUAUUUGUCUGUGAACUCUAGUGGAUGGAUUCCAAAGGUAAAAUUUGGUGCCACGGUGCAAAAAUAUAAACCCUUUGCAUGAACAUUUAGAUUGAAUAAAAAGAUAAAAUCUGUGAUGCGGAAGAGGAUCAGGACGUGGACGCACAAAUUUAAGGUUCAGUGAAGUAGAAGUAUAAUAAUCGCUAAGAGAGAUGCUUCAAAAUCGAUCAAUCGAGUUUGAAGAUCUGGAUUUGAUAUGAACAAAAUUCUAGGACUGUUUGCGGCGAUAAUUUGCAAAAUGGGUUUGAGAGAUAAGAGAAAACCAUAACUUACAAACACACUUGAAACGUAAAAGAGACAUCACCAGCAACCUGCAGAAUUAGGAUAAUCAAGUCAUGAGGCAGAUAAAGUGGAUUCUUCUCCAUGGGAUUUCCGAAUGUUGUUUGUCUGUCACUGUUCCGGUCCAGUUUGAUUUAGGGUUAGGGCUCCCAAUUCUAUAUUUUGUUGCUAAUGCUAGGCAUAAUGAAAGAGGGGCCGUGUUUUUAAUUGUAACGUGAACACUGAAGCGGUGCAGCCAAUGAGGAAAUUUAGGAACCUGUCUUGCAGAAAAAGGAAGGAAUAAAUUAUGAGAGCAUUGAAUGCCAUGGAGACUAAUCAAAAGAAUUAAUGAUAAUCAUUGGAGAAAUUCUCUCGUUCUUGAUGCAGCUCGCACAGUCUUUCAUCAGGAUCUAUCUAUUAAUUUUAUUUCUUUGCUUUCCACUUUUCUGUUUAGUUUUCUUCUUUCUCCUCUUACU